AACGCGAAGAACCUUACCUGGAUUUGACAUCCUCUGAACGGCGGAGAGAUUCGUCUUCUGUAGUAAUACAGCAGAGAGACAGGUGCUGCAUGGCUGUCGUCAGCUCGUGUGGUGACAUGUUGGGUUAAGUCCCGCAACGAGCGCAACCCCUGUCUUUAGUUGCCAGCAUUAAGUUGGGCACUCUAAAGAGACUGCCGUGGUGAACACGGAGGAAGGUGGGGAUGACGUCAAGUCCUCAUGGCCUUUAUGUCCAGGGCGACACACGUGAUACAAUGGACGGUACAAAGGGACGCCAAGAGGCAACUCGGAGCUAAUCUCAAAAAGCCGUUCUCAGUUCGGAUUGGAGUCUGCAACUCGACUCCAUGAAGUUGGAAUCGCUAGUAAUCGCGGAUCAGCACGCCGCGGUGAAUACGUUCCCGGGCCUUGUACACACCGACAUA
RNAcentral lists this ribosomal RNA (440 nucleotides) under uncultured bacterium. RNAcentral's name for it is "bacterial SSU rRNA". It matches the Rfam family "Bacterial small subunit ribosomal RNA", at positions 958 to 1397 of the family's 1533-position model. The record is from RNAcentral.